GAUCUUUAUAUAUUAGUAAUUUAUAUAAAAAUUAGUUGAUUUGUUUUUUAAAAUUAUAAUAUAUUAUAUUGGGGUAAUAAUAAAAUUUUAAUAAUUUUUAUUUAUUAAAUUCAAUUUUAAUUGAUUUUUUGAUCCAAUAUUAUUGAUUAAAAAAUUAAGUUACCUUAGGGAUAACAGCAUAAUGAUUUUUGAGAGUUCUUAUCAAUAAAAUAGUUUGU
RNAcentral lists this ribosomal RNA (218 nucleotides) under Psathyromyia inflata. Its description in RNAcentral is "partial 16S ribosomal RNA". Lineage: Eukaryota; Metazoa; Arthropoda; Insecta; Diptera; Psychodidae. The record is from RNAcentral.